Long non-coding RNA from Rhagoletis pomonella (apple maggot), 972 nucleotides. RefSeq lists it as uncharacterized. Lineage: Eukaryota; Metazoa; Arthropoda; Insecta; Diptera; Tephritidae. The transcript is spliced from 3 exons. The record is from RefSeq and is a predicted model, not a curated record.
GAUACUUUGAUGGUAUCGGAACGUCCCUAGUUGUCAACGUGAAUUGUUGGUGAAAAUGUUUCGAUAAAAAAAUUAAUUUUGGACGGGACGAAGUUCGCCGGGUCUGCCAGACGUCAGCAUAAGCGGUUCCAGAGAUAAGCGUUAUGAGAACUGCAGUUUGUAUAGGCGGUGCCACGCCCCCUUUUCCAAAAUCUAUCACUUUUCGCCGUAAGUACGGUAUUGACAACAUACAGAUGACCGAUAAGAGAACUUCAGUUUGUAUAGGAGGUGCCGCGCCCACUUUCCCAGUACCUACCAUUUUUCACCAUGCCACGCUCCCUACAUAUCGGGAUCAAAAUUUCUGGAUUAGAGGAAGUUAUAUCCUUUAAAUCGGUGCAUGUUUCAUUGAAAUCGCGCGAACGGUGCCUUCCAAAAAGGAAUUGCAAAAUUUUCUUGUGGCGUAUUUAUAUAUAGAUGGUUAAUUGUGAAAGAAAAUAUCAAAAUACAGCUGAUGAUGUAAAUUCAAGCAAUAACUUUGUAAAUUUUUCACAUGGCAAUGAUUUUGAAAAUCAAAAUAAGAUGCAAAACAGGAAAAGUUUAAGAAAAAGUAGACAAAAGAAUAAAACAAUAUAACAAAAGCGAGAUUUUUAUUAUAAAGGUUUAAAAAUUUAUAACGAGCUGCCGGCAGAUAAAAGAAGCUGCAAUAGCUUACAAAAAUUCAAACGCUAUUACACCACCAUUGCAAAACACACAUAUAGAAUGAAAUGGUAAUAACAUCGUUGUUCUAAGGGACUGCUAUUAGGCCUAUCCAUUCUUCCAAGAAACUAUUUUAUGAGAGACGUUACGAGCCUGGAUCGGAAACUCGGCCUUUCCGACCAUGAUCAAAGCUUUUAAUGACACUGAAUGAGACCUUUUCGCCUGCUGGAUUGGUAGAUUGGAGACUAGGUCUCGCUAGCUACCCAACCCGAGUUUAUAAUGUACAUAUAAAUAUCA